This 675-nucleotide ribosomal RNA is filed under the name uncultured Methanoculleus sp. RNAcentral describes it as "bacterial SSU rRNA". It matches the Rfam family "Archaeal small subunit ribosomal RNA", at positions 198 to 876 of the family's 1478-position model. The record is from RNAcentral. Lineage: Archaea; Methanobacteriati; Methanobacteriota; Methanomicrobia; Methanomicrobiales; Methanomicrobiaceae.
GGCGCCUUAGGAUGGAUCUGCGGCCCGAUUAGGUCGUUGUUGGGGUAACGGCCCAACAAGCCGAUAAUCGGUACGGGUUGUGGGAGCAAGAGCCCGGAGUUGGAUUCUGAGACACGAAUCCAGGCCCUACGGGGCGCAGCAGGCGCGAAAACUUUACAAUGCGGGCAACCGUGAUAAGGGAACCUCGAGUGCCUGUACAUGCAGGCUGUCUGGGUGUCUAAAACACACCCAAAGAAAGGGCCGGGCAAGACCGGUGCCAGCCGCCGCGGUAAUACCGGCGGCUCGAGUGGUGGCCACUUUUAUUGGGCUUAAAGCGUUCGUAGCUGGGUUGUUAAGUCUCUUGGGAAAUCUGGCAGCUUAACUGUCAGGCGUCUAAGAGAUACUGGCAAUCUAGGAACCGGGAGAGGUGAGGGGUACUUCGGGGGUAGGAGUGAAAUCCUGUAAUCCUCGAGGGACCACCUGUGGCGAAGGCGCCUCACCAGAACGGCUUCGACAGUGAGGGACGAAAGCUGGGGGAGCAAACCGGAUUAGAUACCCGGGUAGUCCCAGCCGUAAACGAUGCGCGUUAGGUAUGUCGAUGACCACGAGUCAUCGAGGUGCCGAAGGGAAACCGUGAAACGCGCCGCCUGGGAAGUACGGUCGCAAGGCUGAAACUUAAAGGAAUUGGCGGGGGAG